UUCAUGUUCAUUAUAACCCUUGAGGCGUUCAACUGCGUGAUCAACAAGAAUAAAGAGUGUGAAGCUAAGGUGUGGGUCCCGCAAGAAUUGCUGGAUUUCAAGAUUGAAGGCGAUGCCUAAAUAAACCUUGCGAUUGGACUCGUAUUGCAGCAGUUAAUUCGUAAAAUAAAUAAAGCAGCAUUGCUUUGAUAAAGGUUCGAAUAAAGUACAAGUAUUGUUACCUGAGAACUUAAUGCUAUGAACUAUCAAUUUACUUAAUCGUAGCUAGUGUUUGAACGAACUUAAGCUCGAUUAUGUUUCGAUAUGUGGAAAUAAAACUAAAAUUUGUAAUUAAAAUUAAACUAAAAAAUCAACACAUGAAAACUUCACGAAAUGUUUUCG
Molecule: long non-coding RNA, 381 nt
Filed under: Olea europaea (common olive)
Lineage: Eukaryota; Viridiplantae; Streptophyta; Magnoliopsida; Lamiales; Oleaceae
Description: long non-coding RNA (OEUR_LNC010795)
Source: RNAcentral